GAGUUGAUGUUUUAGGGUUUAGAUUUGAAGGUUUAGAGUUUUAGGGUUUAGGGUUUAUGUUUAGGGUUUAGGGUUUACGUUUAAGAUUUAGAGUUGAUGUUUUAGGGUUUAGAUUUGAAGGUUUAGGGUUUUAGGGUUUAGGGUUCGAAUUUGAGAAAAAUAUAGGGUUUAGCAAGGUUCUAAAAAUCGGUCUAGGCGGCGCCUAGGCCCCCGCCUAGGCAGCAACUCGGUCCUAUCCGAAAUGAUUUUCUUAAAAUCCGAUUUAUACCGAUUUAUAUGAUUCAAAUUGGUUUAAACUGUUCUAAAUCGGUUAAAAUUGGUUAAAAUCAAUCUAAAAUUGUCUAUAUAUGUUAAAUAAAGCAAUAAUAUUAUUACAAAUCUACAAAUUUGUCUACUUUCUUCUGUUUUGUAUAUCUAAUUUUGAUAAUUCAUCACAAUAAUUUUAUAAUUAAACUUAAAAACUAAAAUAUGUUAUACAAAUGUAUAGAAUAUAUAAAAUAAAUCAACAAUUUGCUAACGCGUAGGCCCCGAAUAAUCCGCCUAGUCGCUAGUCCUCUAUAAAGCGCCUAGUUACCGCCUAGCGAUUUUUAGAACAUUGGGGUUUAGGGUUUAGGGUUUACGUUUAGGGUUUAGAGCUGAUGUUUUAGGUUUUAGAUUUGAAGUUUUAGGGUUUAGAGUUGAUGUUUCGGGGUUUAGGGUUUAGUGUUGAUGUUUCAUGGUUAAGGGUUUAGAGUUGUUGAUCUAGGGUUUAAAGUUGAUGUUUUAAGUUUAGAUUUAGGGUUUAGGGUUUACGUUUAGGGUUUAGAGUUGAUGUUUUAGGGUUUAGAUUUGACGGUUUAGGGUUUAGAGUUGAUGUUUCAGGGUUUAGGGUAUCUAUAAAGCGCCUAGUUACCGCCUAGCGAUUUUUAGAACAUUGGGGUUUAGGGUUUAGGGUUUACGUUUAGGGUUUAGAGCUGAUGUUUUAGGUUUUAGAUUUGAAGUUUUAGGGUUUAGAGUUGAUGUUUCGGGGUUUAGGGUUUAGUGUUGAUGUUUCAUGGUUAAGGGUUUAGAGUUGUUGAUCUAGGGUUUAAAGUUGAUGUUUUAAGUUUAGAUUUAGGGUUUAGGGUUUACGUUUAGGGUUUAGAGUUGAUGUUUUAGGGUUUAGAUUUGACGGUUUAGG
This 1159-nucleotide long non-coding RNA is filed under the name Brassica napus (rape). RNAcentral describes it as "long non-coding RNA (BNAP_LNC024824)". Lineage: Eukaryota; Viridiplantae; Streptophyta; Magnoliopsida; Brassicales; Brassicaceae. The record is from RNAcentral.